GACGAACGCUGGCGGCGUGCCUAAUACAUGCAAGUCGAACGCUGAAGGAGGAGCUUGCUUCUCUGGAUGAGUUGCGAACGGGUGAGUAACGCGUAGGUAACCUGCCUGGUAGCGGGGGAUAACUAUUGGAAACGAUAGCUAAUACCGCAUAAUAGUAGAUGUUGCAUGACAUUUGCUUAAAAGGUGCAAUUGCAUCACUACCAGAUGGACCUGCGUUGUAUUAGCUAGUUGGUGGGGUAACGGCUUACCAAGGCGACGAUACAUAGCCGACCUGAGAGGGUGAUCGGCCACACUGGGACUGAGACACGGCCCAGACUCCUACGGGAGGCAGCAGUAGGGAAUCUUCGGCAAUGGACUGAAGUCUGACCGAGCAACGCCGCGUGAGUGAAGAAGGUUUUCGGAUCGUAAAGCUCUGUUGUAAGAGAAGAACGAGUGUGAGAGUGGAAAGUUCACACUGUGACGGUAUCUUACCAGAAAGGGACGGCUAACUACGUG
Molecule: ribosomal RNA, 495 nt
Filed under: uncultured bacterium
Lineage: Bacteria
Description: partial 16S ribosomal RNA
Rfam family: Bacterial small subunit ribosomal RNA
Source: RNAcentral